UCCCCGUUACCGGGGCAGUCUGACUAGAGAAAUCCAACUAGCCAUAAGGGUUGCGCUCGUUGAUGGACUUAACCAAACAUCUCACGACACGAGCUGACGACGGCCAUGCAACACCUGUCACCGGGUUCCAAAAGGCACAGUCUCCUUUCGGAGACCUUCCCGGGAUGUCAAGUCCUGGUGAGGUUCUACGCUUACUGACGUAUUAAACAACACGCUCCACCGCUUGUGCGGAUCCCCGUCUAUUCCUUUAUGUUUUAGCCUUGCGGCCGUACUCCACAGGCGGGAUGCUUAACGCGUUAGCUUCGCAACAUGUAGGGUCGAUACUACAAACUGCUAGCAUCCAUCGUUUACGGCGUGGACUAC
Molecule: unclassified non-coding RNA, 363 nt
Filed under: uncultured bacterium
Lineage: Bacteria
Description: contains 16S-23S intergenic spacer region
Source: RNAcentral